Molecule: ribosomal RNA, 749 nt
Filed under: uncultured archaeon
Lineage: Archaea
Description: bacterial SSU rRNA
Rfam family: Archaeal small subunit ribosomal RNA
Source: RNAcentral
AACUGGGGAUAAUUCCGGAUAACGCAUAUUUGCUGGAAUGCUUUAUGCGUCAAAAGGAUUCGUCUGCCCAAGGAUGGGUCUGCGGCCUAUCAGGUAGUAGUGGGUGUAAUGUACCUACUAGCCAGCGACGGGUACGGGUUGUGAGAGCAAGAGCCCGGAGAUGGAUUCUGAGACAUGAAUCCAGGCCCUACGGGGCGCAGCAGGCGCGAAAACUUUACAAUGCGGGAAACCGUGAUAAGGGGACACCGAGUGCCAGCAUCAUAUGCUGGCUGUCCGGAUGUGUAAAAUACAUCCGUUAGCAAGGGCCGGGCAAGACCGAUGCCAGCCGCCGCGGUAACACCGGCGGCCCGAGUGGUGAUCGUGAUUAUUGGGCCUAAAGGGUCCGUAGCCGGUUUGGUCAGUCCUCCGGGAAAUCUGAUAGCUCAACUAUUAGGCUUUCGGGGGAUACUGCCAGACUUGGAACCGGGAGAGGUAAGAGGUACUACAGGGGUAGGAGUGAAAUCUUGUAAUCCCUGUGGGACCACCUGUGGCGAAGGCGUCUUACCAGAACGGGUUCGACGGUGAGGGACGAAAGCUGGGGGAGCAAACCGGAUUAGAUACCCGGGUAGUCCCAGCCGUAAACUAUGCGCGUUAGGUGUGUCGGUAACCACGCGUUACUGAUGCGCCGAAGAGAAAUCGUGAAACGCACCACCUGGGAAGUACGGUCGCAAGGCUGAAACUUAAAGGAAUUGGCGGGGGGAGCACAAGGG